GAUGAAAAAUAAAUGCUAUUAUUGAUCUCACUAUGACUUGAUUGUGAGAACGAUCGAACCACAUGUGUGCUGUUGCCUAAUUAUGCAUGCAUUCCGUUGAAAGUUGCUUCCUCAUGUCGGACGAACAGCCAACCACGUUUUCAGUUUCUCAGCUUGUACUUUUAGAAAUAUGUUGAGGUAUUCUUAGAGUAAUGAUUACCAAUGACUUUCAUCUGUAUAUUCCCCUUAAUUGAUUUUCCCCUUUGAACG
Long non-coding RNA from Rosa rugosa (rugosa rose), 249 nucleotides. RefSeq lists it as uncharacterized. The transcript is spliced from 3 exons. Lineage: Eukaryota; Viridiplantae; Streptophyta; Magnoliopsida; Rosales; Rosaceae. The record is from RefSeq and is a predicted model, not a curated record.